Molecule: ribosomal RNA, 305 nt
Filed under: uncultured bacterium
Lineage: Bacteria
Description: partial 16S ribosomal RNA
Rfam family: Bacterial small subunit ribosomal RNA
Source: RNAcentral
ACAGCAGCCGCCGCGGGAAUACGUAGGUCCCGAGCGUUGUCCGGAUUUAUUGGGCGUAAAGGGAGCGCAGGCGGUUUAGUAAGUCUGAAGUUAAAGGCAUUGGCUCAACCAAUGUAUGCUUUGGAAACUGUUAGACUUGAGUGCAGAAGGGGAGAGUGGAAUUCCAUGUGUAGCGGUGAAAUGCGUAGAUAUAUGGAGGAACACCGGUGGCGAAAGCGGCUCUCUGGUCUGUCACUGACGCUGAGGCUCGAAAGCGUGGGUAGCGAACAGGAUUAGAUACCCCUGUAGUCCCUGUCUCUUAUACA